Molecule: transfer RNA, 77 nt
Filed under: Actinospica acidithermotolerans
Lineage: Bacteria; Bacillati; Actinomycetota; Actinomycetes; Catenulisporales; Actinospicaceae
Description: tRNA-Arg
Rfam family: tRNA
About the family: Transfer RNA (tRNA) molecules are approximately 80 nucleotides in length.
Source: RNAcentral
GCCCUCCUCGCUCAGCGGAUCAGAGCGCCCGACGACGGAUCGGGAGGACGCAGGUUCGACUCCUGCGAAGGGCACCA